ACGUGUACAAAUUGGAUAUGGCAGAUAUUGUGGAGUAGCCUGGCGAUGGUUAGAAACCGUGGGACACUUGUAAAAAUGAACGAACCCAAACUAAAUUAUGCAUGAGCGCCAAGCUGAGCUUAUAUGGAUCCCAGCUUAGGUUCGGUUUUUAGUGGGGGUUCGGGUUAUGGACAUCGGUCCAAUAACCUGUCUUUUUGCUUUCAGUUUUGUUUUCAAUAUCUGAUCUAUACUGAAUUCAAUUUUGUCAAAGCAUUAAGGUGUCAUCAUCAAUUCACGAAUUGAUGAAUACUCUCUGUAACUCAGUUCUUAUUAUUAUUUUUUUUUAACUCAACAUCUACUUCUCAUUAACCAAUUCAAUGUCUUACAAUUGGUCUAUCGGCCUCGAUACAUGAUCUUAGCCACACAUGCACUAUAGAAUACAACUUAGGGACAAUGGACAUAAACGUAGUAGUCUCCUUUGCUAUCCUAUCCGCCGAUUUAUUUCCACUCCUAGGGUGAUAACCCACCUCCAAAUUGCUACCACCUGCCAAUGAGGUCUGGAUCUGUUGGAUAAUAGGUUUCAUUCUCGGCCAGACUUCCUCCUCUCCUGUGAUCAUCCUCUGAAGCACUAGCGAGUCUGUCUCAAAGACCACAUUCGCAUACCCAAAUCCAUAAUAUUUUAGACUAUAAAUUAGUCUAUUCUCUCAUCCUUAAAAAAAUGAGCAAGAAAUAACAAUCUCAUAUUUGUUUCUUUUUUUCUUUUUCUGUUUACUUUUUAGUUUUGUUUUCUUAAGAGUACAACACAAGAAAAUAUUAGUCAGCUUAUAUUCUGAGGGAGGUGGAAUAAUCGAUGUGUGGUUGUAUCUUAGGAUCUUCGCCUUCUGAAACCUUACCUUGCAUGUGUACAUGGGGGUUAAACCCUAACAAUUAUGAAAGAAAUACAUGAUGGCAAGUUCGGGUUCCACUCUGAAGGACGAGCGUCCUUCGCAUUAAAAAGAAAAGAUAUUUUUGGUCCUACUAUAACUAAGGAUUGCGAGACAUACUCUCUAAAGUGUGACAAAUGCCAACGCCACACACCAAUAAUCAGACUGCCAACGGAGAUUUUAUUAUCC
Molecule: long non-coding RNA, 1091 nt
Filed under: Brassica rapa (field mustard)
Lineage: Eukaryota; Viridiplantae; Streptophyta; Magnoliopsida; Brassicales; Brassicaceae
Description: long non-coding RNA (BRAP_LNC004451)
Source: RNAcentral